Molecule: transfer RNA, 69 nt
Filed under: Mordacia mordax (southern lamprey)
Lineage: Eukaryota; Metazoa; Chordata; Hyperoartia; Petromyzontiformes; Petromyzontidae
Also listed under: 1 other name
Description: tRNA-His
Rfam family: tRNA
About the family: Transfer RNA (tRNA) molecules are approximately 80 nucleotides in length.
Source: RNAcentral
GCAAGCAUAGUUUACUUAAAACAUUAGAUUGUGAGUCUAAUAAAGAAGAAUAAAACUCUUCUGCCUGCC